Molecule: ribosomal RNA, 468 nt
Filed under: uncultured bacterium
Lineage: Bacteria
Description: partial 16S ribosomal RNA
Rfam family: Bacterial small subunit ribosomal RNA
Source: RNAcentral
GACGAACGCUGGCGGCGUGCUUAACACAUGCAAGUCGAACGGAAAGGCCCUGCUUUUGUGGGGUGCUCGAGUGGCGAACGGGUGAGUAACACGUGAGUAACCUGCCCUUGACUUUGGGAUAACUUCAGGAAACUGGGGCUAAUACCGGAUAGGAGCUCCUGCUGCAUGGUGGGGGUUGGAAAGUUUCGGCGGUUGGGGAUGGACUCGCGGCUUAUCAGCUUGUUGGGGGGGUAGUGGCUUACCAAGGCUUUGACGGGUAGCCGGCCUGAGAGGGUGACCGGCCACAUUGGGACUGAGAUACGGCCCAGACUCCUACGGGAGGCAGCAGUGGGGAAUAUUGCACAAUGGGCGGAAGCCUGAUGCAGCAACGCCGCAUGCGGGAUGACGGCCUUCGGGUUGUAAACCGCUUUCGCCUGUGACGAAGCGUGAGUGACGGUAAUGGGUAAAGAAGCACCGGCUAACUACGUG